GUUGUAGAACGGUGUUACAAUUCAGUGAUGCCGGUAAAACCACUCAAAUUAAAAAAAAAAAAAAAAGAGGGAAGAGGAAUUCAGUAAAAGGACUAUACGUUUUGAGGACCAGGCAGUCAGCCAGCAGCACAUAUACAACCGGCUUAACACCUGCUUGGCUGCUCAGAGCAGGCGAAAUGGCGGCGAACGGGGCUGGACGAGCAGAGCAGGCGAAAUGGCGGCGAACGGGGCUGGACGAGGGGCUGGAGCUCCCGAGCUCGCGGCUUCCCGGAAAACUGAGUUAGGAGCUGCGCCCUACGGAGUCCAGCGCGCGGGCUCGGACGGACGAAGCUCAGCGAAAACAGGACAGAAAACGCUAACGCUGUGAGCAGGAUUCGAACCUGCGCGGGGAGACCCCAUUGGAUUUCGAGUCCAACGCCUUAACCACUCGGCCAUCACAGCGGCGGGACUGCCGGCACUCCUCGGGUCCCUCGCAGGUCUUCUCCCCGCGGCGCGCGCGUCAGGUGGGGCCGCCGCCGCCGCCGCCGUCGAAAGGGUUUCUUCCUCCGCACAGGCGCCGCACCUCACGCACAGGCGCCGCACCUCACACCCAGACUUCCUCCAGAAGGUCUGUGCAGCCGGGCGGCGGAGGGAACUAACCCCGGGUUUCAUCCGGAGACCCUGCCGAGCAGACAAGUCCGCGAACGUGGAAGCGCCUGGACGUCCCCGCGUCGUCCCCUCUGCGGUCCGGAGCCGCACAGAAGGUCUGUGCAGCCGGGCGGCGGAGGGAACUAACCCCGGGUUUCAUCCGGAGACCCUGCCGAGCAGACAAGUCCGCGAACGUGGAAGCGCCUGGGCGUCCCCGCGUCGUCCCCUCUGCGGUCCGGAGCCGCACGCUGGCUGAGGCUGUGCCCUGCAGCUCCCAGCGGGGAGCGUUAGCGUCGGCCCCUCCUCUCAGCCCCUUGGCUUCUUGCAGCGGAGCCCCCAUUUUUGUGCUUGCCCCUUUUGUCAUUUCUAAGCUGGUCUCCCCGUCUCAACCAAGAGCUCCUGGAGCCGUGACGGACGUUUGAUUUUCACCUGUUUUCUGACUCCACGCGCCGGAAACUUUCUUGGUGCUUACAAGCUGCUUUGAUGCUUAGACAAGUCCCCAAGAGCCCGGUGAUCUGUUUCCUGCUCCUCACCCCUCGCCCCAGCAUCCGUUCGAGUCGCGCCUUUGCAACCCUCUCAGCUCCUGAGGUGGCUGUGCUCUGGCAAAGCAAGGCACGGUCUGGACACUGGACACGGCACACAGCACUGGCAGGUCUCACUCUGUUCAGACAGUGAGCGCCAGGUGGACAUCUUCAAGGCUGCCAGGUGGUUGUUCUGCGACGAUCUGUGCGAAUUACUCCUCCCGUCCUCCGUCUCUCAUCCUGAGCUCCAGCACCUCCUCUCCCCCAUCAGGCGCACCCGAGGGCAUUGCUUUCUACCUCUCUGAGAAAAGUAACCAUCAGAAGAGAACUUCCAUAAGCAUCACCAGCGUCCCCCCACUGCCAGCCCCGGGAGAACUGCAGCAGUCCUGCAAGCGCUUGUCAAGGUCACCGGGGACUGGCAUGUGCCUAACAUUUCCCCUGGCCUGCCUCUUACCUGGCACACAAGUCGUGGUUCUCUGUCGAAUAUUUGUAUUGAGAGUUUUUCCCACCUUUGUCUGAGACAGCAUCCCUCAAGUACAGUGAUUCCUGGACUGCGAAAAGGAACAGAAAAACUGGUGCACGCUUCGCUGUGAAUGGUCCACACUUUCAAAACUGUCUCCACUGUCUGUUAAAUCAAACAUUUACCCUUCAUGCCCUGCUGGAUCAGAAAUUUCUAGAACUUAUCCACUCUUUCAUGUAAGAGGACUGCGAAAAGGAACACAAUUUAUCCAUGCUCGCUUGAAGAUUUGGUGGGCUUUGCAAAAGAAGACAGAUUUGAAUUGACUCAAACCAUACUGACAGAUUUGGAGCUAGCUGCCAUCCAGGCUUCUAAAUGUGAAUUUCAGAAGCGUUGCCUAAAGGUGGCUUUUUCAGCCCAGUGCAUUUCUGCUGGGGUGAUGGUGGGGGGGAGUCAGGUGAGUAGAUUGUCACUUCUGUUUAAAAAUUGUGUCAUUUGCAUGGAUUUCUAAGAACUUGUAAUGAGUUAAAGCCACACCUGCCUGAAGUUGUCAGGGAAGUGACCGACUGGUCUGAAAAUAAUUACGGGCAAGACAGGAUAAGAAGGCCCUUGGGAAACAGUGCCAAUGUGGUGUCACCAGCUGUUACCGCUGAAUCGGUGGUCUGCCUGUGACUCCUGACCAACACAGAAGCACGGCACAAAAGACAGGAGACUCAACGGGGAAUGCUCACAUCCCUUCCAUAGCAGCAGGGCCUCACAGAACAGGAGCCUGUGUUCUCUGGGAGCCACGCCCUGCAAAGCAGCGUGGGACUUCACCAUGCAGCUAAUGACGUGGAAAUGAGCCAGUCUUAACAAGGUCCACACUACUGCCUGUAACCUAGCCCUGUGGCACAAUAUGCUCAUAUGAGUCUCUUUGUAGAGUUUCCAUUUAUUUUCCAACUUUUCUCCAUGUUCACUGUUCAGGGUUAAUUUUUAAAACUUGCUAGGCUGUGUGUUUUAUCUUUGCAUCAUUUCCAACCCUGGAGGUAUACAUGGUGUCAAGAUGCUUCGAGUUCUAAUUCGUUGUAUACAUUGUGCAGACGCACAUGAUCACAGUGUCGACUUUGUGAGCCUGUGCCUGUGUACAAAAAUGCUGGAACUUCCUCAACCAGACAAGUUCUGCUCGUAUUGGCACGUGUGAAAGAUACAAGUUCGGAAGAUCUUGGCUCCUUGAGGACUGGGUAUGUGCUGGAGACCAUUGUGGGUUUUGAUGGAUGUGCUCCCGAGACGUCCCUUGUCCGUCUGGUCUCAAGAACCCUUCCCUUUCUGUGUCCGUCUGUCCAGUGCGGCUUCAAGAGGAGACAUAAGGGAGGCUCAGGAGCGGAGCUCACUCUGCUCACAGGUCCUGGACGCAGGGGCCGGCACACCGUGCAGGGCACGUGGUCAGGCGGCAGGAGCCGGCAGCAAGGGGGACCGUCUGGCUUUGCGGGAAAGGCAGGCAGGGCACGGUGAAUGCGUUAGGGACCGGCUCAUUUGAAUACUUUCGGUGGCUUCUGUCAGCCGGGUUGCUGUGAUUUGAAUGCUUAUUCCGCGAACAGCGUUAGGAUGGUGGGCAUUCCGCAGGUGAGCAGGCCCUGAGGCCCCCACCUCCUGGGCUGGGCACGGCGGGCCCUCCUUCACUCGGUCCCUGGCCUUUUUACGUGUGAUGACUCGGCGAGGAGGCCCUGGCCUGAGGCUGGCACUCGAUUUUCCACUUCCUACACCUCGGAGGCCUGAGACGACGCGUUUCUGUGCCCCUGAACAAGUCCAGCCCCAGACACUCGGUCCUCACGGCACAGAGCCGACUUGGACCGGGAGGGCUCAGGCGUGACCCUGAGGACGGAUUCCCCCGCCCGCACUCAGAGCCGCGCUCGGCCAGGGUUCCUGCAGUGACCUCCGCCUGUCCUCUCUCUGGGGUUCCGUUAACGCGUUACUUGGGAUGGACUUAGUGAGGCACUGUCCAGCCAUCCUCUUCCCUGCGUCCGCUGUGGGGCGCUCCCCGGCUCCCCUCGCUCGGCUGGAUCCUGAUUACCGUGCACAGCUCUGUCUCCGGCCCCAGCUUGGGGCUGAGCUGGAUUCUCCAUUCUGGGACGUUUCACGGAGGGGCGAUGCUUUCUGGUUGCGGCUCCGCACCGGCUGCGCGGACCCUGCCCAAGCCACGAGCGUCCACCCUGCCCGGGCGCUUCGGGCUCGCUUCCUCAGGGUGUUUAGAUGCCGGCCCGGCCCCUCCGGAUCGGCAGGGCGCCCGACCCGCACAGGAGAGACCCGCGGUCAGCCCGAGGUGCCCUGCUCCUGCGCUUUCCGAGCCGUGCCUCCUCCCCGGCUCCCGCAGCAGGAGGAACCAGGUUGCCCGGGUGCCCGCAGACGGAGGAAGCCCGCACGCUGGGUGGGUGGGGUGAGGGUAAGCGUCGCAGCGGUUGCGGAGUUCAAACCAAAGCUCCUAGGAGCAAAAUUCACGCGUAAAAACAUCCUGUUUCCGCCCGGUUUCGAACCGGGGACCUUUCGCGUGUUAGGCGAACGUGAUAACCACUACACUACGGAAACCCACGGGGGGCGGGUGCCUCCCUCUUCCUUUUACAAGCGAUUGCUGGCUUCUCUCCUAAUUUAUGGGUAACUAUUUUCCAUACUUGUUACCCGACGAUCUAAUUUAAAGUGAGGGACAUUUACUAAACAACUGCCCUUUCCUCUUAAUAAAAUAAUGCGUUUCUUACUAGUUAUAAAAAUAAACAUUGGCUAAACUGAAAGCAUGCCAUUGUAAAAAUUAAAAAAAUAAAAAUUAAAAGAAUAAGAAAGGAAGGAGGAGGGAGGCUAGUGUGGGAAGUAUCACUGUGUUCCUAAAUCUGUAUAUAUGAAAUACCUGAAAUUUGUUCACUUUAUAUAAGUUUUUAAAAAUUGAAAAAAAAAACUGGCAUAGAACUAACAUUAAAAUUUAAUUCCUAUUGAAA
Molecule: non-coding RNA, 4568 nt
Organism: Oryctolagus cuniculus (rabbit)
Lineage: Eukaryota; Metazoa; Chordata; Mammalia; Lagomorpha; Leporidae
Source: RefSeq, a predicted model, not a curated record